This 233-nucleotide ribosomal RNA is filed under the name uncultured bacterium. RNAcentral describes it as "partial 16S ribosomal RNA". It matches the Rfam family "Bacterial small subunit ribosomal RNA", at positions 118 to 351 of the family's 1533-position model. The record is from RNAcentral.
UGAGUAACCUGCCCUUAACUCUGGGAUAAGCCUGGGAAGCUGGGUCUAAUACCGGAUAUGACUCCUCAUCGCAUGGUGGGGGGUGGAAAGCUUUAUUGUGGUUUGGAUGGACUCGCGGCCUAUCAGCUUGUUGGUGAGGUAAUGGCUCACCAAGGCGACGACGGGUAGCCGGCCUGAGAGGGUGACCGGCCACACUGGGACUGAGACACGGCCCAGACUCCUACGGGAGGCAG